This 306-nucleotide ribosomal RNA is filed under the name uncultured bacterium. Its description in RNAcentral is "bacterial SSU rRNA". It matches the Rfam family "Bacterial small subunit ribosomal RNA", at positions 28 to 334 of the family's 1533-position model. The record is from RNAcentral.
GACGAACGCUGGCGGCGUGCUUAACACAUGCAAGUCGAACGAACUCGAGCUUCGGCUCAAUGAGUGAGUGGCGAACGGGUGAGUAACACGUGAGAAACCUGCCCUGGAGUACGGGAUAACCCAAGGAAACUUGGGCUAAUACCGCAUACCUUCUGACCACCGCAUGGUGGACUGAAGAAAGAUUUAUCGCUCUGGGAGGGUCUCGCGGCCUAUCAGCUUGUUGGUGAGGUAACGGCUCACCAAGGCUUCGACGGGUAGCUAGUCUGAGAGGACGAAUAGCCACACUGGAACUGAGACACGGUCCAG